Molecule: long non-coding RNA, 905 nt
Organism: Dreissena polymorpha
Lineage: Eukaryota; Metazoa; Mollusca; Bivalvia; Myida; Dreissenidae
Exons: 3
Source: RefSeq, a predicted model, not a curated record
UUAUGGAUCAUUAUUGAUUCAUUUUGUGUUUUUGAAUCUUCAUUCCGAGCUGUCUUUUAGGCGGAAAUUCUAUUUCUUGGAGAUUACCGGGAGCAUUACGAUUAUCAAUAUGUAAUUUUACAAUCAUAUACAUUUUUCCGGUGGAGUUCAAUUAAGCAUUUUGUUGUCAUCUAUCGCGUUUUGCUAGUCUGUGUUAGCGUGGCAGUAAAGCUUUCUUUUUUCGAUGUAUGUUGUAUGAGUGUUGUAGUUCUAGCUAGUACCUGGACUAUCUAUUUAUGGCUUUGAUAAUAUUGUGGCAUUGCUAAUGUUUAACUGUAAGUUGCACCGAUAAUUUAUUUGGCCGGUUGCGUUGGCCUUAGCGAUUUAGCAGAGCGACUCUGGUCCCUGGCCGUCUUUACCUUAUAUGGUAAUCAUAACCAUAUAUGUCACAACACAAACAUCUAUAAAUAAACGUUAUGAAUGAUUGUAAUAUGACCAUCUAUGGAGAAAGCGUAAUCAAAUAACGUGCGAGGGGUUCCGAAUGGAGAAACAAUAAAAAACAUCGUUGGAAUAAUCUCCCCUUUUGAUUGCCCACGAGCUUUCAAACGGUUGAGAUCCGGUGCCCAAGACAGGAGAAAAGUGAACCUUAUUGCUGGGGACUCCAAUGUUCAUCGGAUUAAGGAUAUUCUUCCUGACGAUAUAGCUGUCAAAUACCUGCCAAUCUCUGGUGCCAAAUUGUCUUGUGAUCGUUUUCGCCAUGCAUUGUUGAGAGACUUGCGGAAGAUGGAUGUUCAACAGCUGUAUCUUCAUCUAGGCUCAAAUGACAUUCUUACGAAUGAAGCGGUGUUUUACCGGUACAUAAACAAUUUUAUAAAAAAAGCUUUGAUAUUUAAAUUUAAUGUAGUUGUUUCCCAUAACUAUAUAAA